CCUACGGGUGGCAGCAGUGGGGAAUAUUGCACAAUGGGGGAAACCCUGAUGCAGCAACGCCGCGUGAGUGAAGAAGUAUUUCGGUAUGUAAAGCUCUAUCAGCAGGGAAGAGAAGGACGGUACCUGACUAAGAAGCCCCGGCGAACGACGUGCCAGCAGCCGCGGUAAUACGUAGGGGGCGAGCGUUAUCCGGAUUUACUGGGGUGAAAGGGAGCGUAGAAGGUUCUGCAAGUCUGAAGUGAAAGCCCGUGGCUUAACCGCGGAACGGCUGUGGAAACGGUGGAACUGGAGUGCUGGAGAGGCAAGCGGCAUUCCUCUUGUCGCGGUGCAAUGCGUAGAUAUUCGGAGGCCCACCAGUGGCGAAGGCGGCUUGCUGGACAGUAACUGCCGUUGAGGCUCGAAAGCGUGGGGCGCAACCAGGAUUAGAUACCCUGGUAGUC
Molecule: ribosomal RNA, 440 nt
Filed under: uncultured bacterium
Lineage: Bacteria
Description: partial 16S ribosomal RNA
Rfam family: Bacterial small subunit ribosomal RNA
Source: RNAcentral